UAGGAUAUAGCUGACCAAUGUUCUCUUUAAAUGUAAUUUCCAUCUGCCACAUUUUAAAUUACAGGUUUUUGCAUCAGGAAACUGUUGGGUCCAAUUAUUUGGUGCCUUGGAAAGGGCAUUAAAUGCAUAGUGAGAAGAUCCUGGUUUAAUCUGACAUUCCACUUACUAGGUGUAGAAGCUUAAGCAAGUUAAUUAAUCUUUGAGUCUGUAUACCCAGCUGCAAAAUGAGGAUAAUGCUUAUCUUAUAGAGUGUUGUGAAAGCAAUGAAGAUUGUGUGAAAGGGUUUCAUAAACUGACAAGCACUGCACAAAUGUGAGGUCCCCUAAGGAAAACCUUUUCAAAACUCAAAAUCUAUAUGAACAGAGAUACUUAUUCAUGUUGGGUGGAAUGUUUUACAGCCAUUAAAAAUUGUAAGAGAAAAUAUAUUGAAAAAUACAAUCUAAAAUGGUGAGUUUGCAAUUACAACAGUGUAAAACCUGUGUACAUAGACUAGAAUAUGGAAAAAAUGGAUUACAGGGCAGUGGAAUUGAGUGACUUUUGCUUUAAAGACUCUUAGGUAUAUUAGGUGUAUUCAGUUUAGUUCAAUAAACUUUUAUUGAGCUCUCACUCUCCCAAUCCCCGUGCUAGAUUCUAUGAGUGCUGAGACAAAUAGGACAUACUCCCUCCUCUCAGAGACUCCCAUUCUGUACAGUCUUGUCAAAGUUUACUGUGUAUGUGAAUCACUGGGGAGCGUAUUAAAAAUUCACAUUAUCUUACUCCCACCAGAAGAUCUGAUUCAGUAGGUCUGGGAUGGAACUAGCUCACAAUUUACAUUGUUUUAAACAGUCACCCUGAGUAAUUCUAGUGUAAGUAUUUUAAUUCUGUACUGAGAAACCUGCAGUGAGAUUUUAAUAUUUUUACACUAAACGGUAAGUAAUAAUUAUACAAAUCUGCUCAUUGAAGAAGUUACCUGUUCUCUCUGCAUGCUUGAGCUGGUUUUUAUGUGUCUCUAUCAAGGAUGGGAAGGCCAGCCUGCAGUGAUACCCCUUGGAACCCUUGCAGUGUAGAAACUACCACACCUCUCAACUUUUAUCUCUUUUCCUCACUCCAUUUCUCCCCACCACUUCUCCUAAUGUUUUCUUCUUUCUAUGCAAGUGUUAAUCUCCCACUCUGGUUCCUUCUAUGCCUAGUACUGUAUCAACAUCCAGGUGCUUCCCCUUCCUUUCUCCACCCCACCUCCCAGCCAGAUAUGUCAAUUGUAUUGAAAACAACUUACAUCUAGUUUACUAAGUACAAACUUGUGCUGGUUAAUGCUUCUCAAAAAGUAGGAGUGGGCUGUUUGUUGAGAUCAACAGUCAUUUUUUAAAAAAUCCGAUAUGGAAAUUUUUGUGUCAAGUUUCACUAUCACUUAGUUCUUGACUGAUUUUCUUCUGAUGGGUUAGUAGCUCUCAACAGAAGUUUAAAAGUCCCCUGCUCAGGUACCUGUCCUGCCGAUAGAGCUGGGGUGUACCCUGCACCCUGACUCAACAUUGCUUGUCUCCACAUGCCUGUAAAUGGGCUUGGGUGGCUUUCUCAGGCUACACACCUGUCACUUCUUAGUCACCCAGAAUCAAAAUAUUAACAGCUCUGAUCACAUUUUCCGAACCUAUGAGGCUUUAUUUCAGGAGUGGUGACACUCCAAAAUGCAGCUAGGAUUUCCACAUUUUCACGUGUUAGUGUUGAAAUCAUUUUUACUUCAGGAAACCAAGGGUUGGACAAUGGCUUCCAGACUUUCUCCUUUCGUUAUGCUCCUUCAGCGCCUUAUGCAAAUACCGUUUGUCUUAUGCUGCCAUUCGUCUCCUCUGCCAGAAUGUGAGGUCCACGACAGCAGGGAUAAGAAUGCAUUCAUUUUUAUAUCUGCAGUGCCUUGGAGAGUGUCUGACACAUAGUGGGCACUCAUUUAAAAACCACCAAUUGAAUCAUUAAGGUGACCAAAAACAGGGUGGGGGAAAUACGUCCAUCAGACAACAGGGAAAUAUUUCUUAAAAAAAAAAAUUUCCCAAAACUAGCUUUUCCCUCUUUAUGUGUCUGAAAUAUCUCAUAAAUUUUUAAACUAUCCCUUUCAGCACAAAUCUGCCUGGAGCUGUUUCCUGAACACAGGACCAAAAGGCAGGAAUCAAAAGUAGUAAUGAGUUUAGUUAUCUGUCUGUUACUGAAGGUGACUUCUAGGGCAUCCUCCUGGCAUUGCUUCUGGAAUACAGUGACUUAGACUUAUUCGGAAGAACAUCUCUAUGCUGUUCAUCACAUCACCAGCACCUAGCCCUGUGCCUGUGCAUAGUAAAUGCUCAGAAAAGAAAAAACAACAAAGUUUCCAGCUCUUACUCUAGAUUGACACUGGACCUUGUUGAUGCUUGCAGCCACUAAAUGUAAUGCCACAUGAUUGUUGACCCAACAAUAAUCCAGUUAAAAAACAGUCUUCAGAGUUACUACAUCAUCAGAAUUAACCCUGAUUACAUCAAAUUAUGUUGAAACAGACCACAGCUGUUUGCCCUGUUGAAGCAACUGCUUGAGAGCUCCUCCGGAAGAUACAUCUGGGUGUCACUAAGAUACAUUUUGGGUUUAGUUUUGUUUCUCAACACAAAUGUAGGAGGGAAACAAACCCUGUUCUGCUGGGGUGCUUGGUGGGAGCUGAAAACCUUGUGAUUCUCCAGCAGUCAAAAGUCAUCUCAAUUACCAAAGAGAAGGGAACCUGAGAUCUUUUGUUUCAGUUUUCUAUAGGAAGGAUGUAAGAGGAAGGAAAUUCAAAUCUGUUGAGUAUUGCUCUUGCCAGCAAAAAGAAGUGGAACUGACUAGUGAGAUGGUGGUGAGAUUUUCUUUGGUGGCUGUGUGCAGUGGUAUCAACCCAGGAGAGUAGACUGUUCAAUUGUGAAGAAUUUUGCAAGAUGGUUGUUAAAAUAGAACAUCGUUAAAAUUAAGUUGUAAUAAAAAAAGGGAAAUAAGCAUUGGAAAAGAUGUGGACAGAUUGGAACCCUCAUACAUUGCUGAUGGGAAUGUAAAAUGGUGUAGCCACUGUGGAAAAAAGUUCAGCAGUUCCUUAAAAAGUUAAACAGUGUCACCAUAUGACUCAGCAUUUUCACUUCUAGAUAAAUACCUAGAUUGAAAACGUAUGUCCACACAAAAACUUGUACAGGAAUGAUCGCAACAGCAUUAUUCAUAAUAGCC
Molecule: long non-coding RNA, 3180 nt
Organism: Pan troglodytes (chimpanzee)
Lineage: Eukaryota; Metazoa; Chordata; Mammalia; Primates; Hominidae
Exons: 3
Source: RefSeq, a predicted model, not a curated record